CUUCCCAAUGAUGCCUCUGUUAACCAUGCUAAUGCUGAAAUGCUCUGAAGGAAUUUUGUUUCUUAUUCUGAGGGGGUA
This is a non-coding RNA of Musa acuminata subsp. malaccensis (wild Malaysian banana), 78 nucleotides long. NCBI's taxonomy places the organism in Eukaryota, Viridiplantae, Streptophyta, Magnoliopsida, Zingiberales, Musaceae. The record is from Rfam.